Molecule: long non-coding RNA, 338 nt
Organism: Symsagittifera roscoffensis
Lineage: Eukaryota; Metazoa; Xenacoelomorpha; Acoela; Convolutidae
Exons: 3
Source: RefSeq, a predicted model, not a curated record
CAUAAUUCAUUUCAGCUUUAAAUCUAUCAUUCGUCAUUUUACUCAAUAGAUCAAUACAGCACCGCUUGAGGGAAAAAUUUUGUCUAACUAAGAAAAUUGUUAACAUCAUUCGGAAAGACAAUUCAACGAUGGAUUUGGCUGAAGUCUUCAACGGAACCGAGAUCACAACCAAUGCAAUUGAAACAGUUUCGAACAGCGCUGCUCAAGUCUUCAUGAAUGACUUUCUCGUGGUGAUCAACUCUUUCGUCACGCCCCUGGCAGGUGUGAUUGGACUGAUUUUGAACACCCUCGGGGUACUGACCCUCCUGCAUAUGGGCAUCAACUCUUCCUCUAUGGUG